Molecule: ribosomal RNA, 433 nt
Filed under: uncultured bacterium
Lineage: Bacteria
Description: partial 16S ribosomal RNA
Rfam family: Bacterial small subunit ribosomal RNA
Source: RNAcentral
AACGAACGCUGGCGGCAGGCCUAACACAUGCAAGUCGAGCGAGAUCUUCGGGUCUAGCGGCGGACGGGUGAGUAACGCGUGGGAAUAUGCCUCUUGGUACGGAAUAGCCUCGGGAAACUGGGAGUAAUACCGUAUGUGCCCUUUGGGGGAAAGAUUUAUCGCCAAGAGAUUAGCCCGCGUUGGAUUAGGUAGUUGGUGGGGUAAUGGCCUACCAAGCCGACGAUCCAUAGCUGGUUUGAGAGGAUGAUCAGCCACACUGGGACUGAGACACGGCCCAGACUCCUACGGGAGGCAGCAGUGGGGAAUCUUAGACAAUGGGGGCAACCCUGAUCUAGCCAUGCCGCGUGAGUGACGAAGGCCUUAGGGUUGUAAAGCUCUUUCAGCUGGGAAGAUAAUGACGGUACCAGCAGAAGAAGCCCCGGCUAACUCCGUG